UUAUCGUACAACAGGAGGUGCCGAGGUUGUCGCUGACCCUANGUCGNGNNCGCCUCGNGCAUUCUUACUCCUCAUCCACUUCACCCCUUGUGCAUCCCCGCGUGGGCUCUCUCGAAAGAGAGAGCCGGCGUCAUUACACAAACACAAAGUAGCAGUANAAUGUUCUUUGCAUUUGUAUGCANUUAAUACNACUUUCAACAACGGAUCUCUUGGCUCUCGCAUCGAUGAAGGACGCAGCGAAAUGCGAUACGUAAUGUGAAUUGCAGAAUUCAGUGAAUCAUCGAAUCUUUGAACGCACCUUGCGCCCCUUGGUAUUCCGAAGGGCACACCCGUUUGAGUGUCAUGAANUUCUCAACCUUCUCCAUUUUCUUUCUUGACUUGGGUAAAGGCUUGGAUUUUGGAGGCUUUUGCUGGACUCUCUUGAUUGAGAUCGGCUCCUCUUAAAUGGAUUANUANGAUCCCUUUUUCGCUGGUCCUUGAC
Molecule: ribosomal RNA, 481 nt
Filed under: uncultured fungus
Lineage: Eukaryota; Fungi
Description: eukaryotic LSU rRNA
Rfam family: 5.8S ribosomal RNA (bases 190-343)
Source: RNAcentral